This 763-nucleotide ribosomal RNA is filed under the name uncultured Streptococcus sp. Its description in RNAcentral is "bacterial SSU rRNA". It matches the Rfam family "Bacterial small subunit ribosomal RNA", at positions 28 to 774 of the family's 1533-position model. Lineage: Bacteria; Bacillati; Bacillota; Bacilli; Lactobacillales; Streptococcaceae. The record is from RNAcentral.
GACGAACGCUGGCGGCGUGCCUAAUACAUGCAAGUAGAACGCUGAAGACUGGUGCUUGCACUAGUCAGAUGAGUUGCGAACGGGUGAGUAACGCGUAGGUAACCUACCCCAUAGCGGGGGAUAACUAUUGGAAACGAUAGCUAAUACCGCAUGACAAUUAAGUACUCAUGUACUAAAUUUAAAAGGAGCAAUUGCUUCACUAUGAGAUGGACCUGCGUUGUAUUAGCUAGUUGGUGAGGUAACGGCUCACCAAGGCCACGAUACAUAGCCGACCUGAGAGGGUGAUCGGCCACACUGGGACUGAGACACGGCCCAGACUCCUACGGGAGGCAGCAGUAGGGAAUCUUCGGCAAUGGGGGCAACCCUGACCGAGCAACGCCGCGUGAGUGAAGAAGGUUUUCGGAUCGUAAAGCUCUGUUGUUAGAGAAGAACGGUAAUGGGAGUGGAAAAUCCAGUACGUGACGGUAACUAACCAGAAAGGGACGGCUAACUACGUGCCAGCAGCCGCGGUAAUACGUAGGUCUCGAGCGUUGUCCGGAUUUAUUGGGCGUAAAGCGAGCGCAGGCGGUUAUUUAAGUCUGAAGUUAAAGGCCGUGGCUCAACCAUGGUUCGCUUUGGAAACUGGAUAACUUGAGUGCAGAAGGGGAGAGUGGAAUUCCAUGUGUAGCGGUGAAAUGCGUAGAUAUAUGGAGGAACACCGGUGGCGAAAGCGGCUCUCUGGUCUGUAACUGACGCUGAGGCUCGAAAGCGUGGGGAGCAAACA